ACCAAAUUGCCUGACGUGAGUUUUAGAUGCGGGAAUUGGAUUUGUUGAAUGAAGAUCUGACGGCGCGUUGGAUGAAGAACCCUCAAACUCCGAGGCAGAUAAUGAAGAUAUAAAGCGGAGAAGGUCACCAAUUCAAAAGGUGAUAAGCCAACACCAUUGACUGAAGAAGCCAACGCUAUUACGUCUUUAUAAGUUGAGGCUAAAUAAUGUUUGUGAAGAUGUUGCACAAUUAGG
Molecule: long non-coding RNA, 234 nt
Filed under: Physcomitrium patens
Lineage: Eukaryota; Viridiplantae; Streptophyta; Bryopsida; Funariales; Funariaceae
Description: long non-coding RNA (PPAT_LNC008474)
Source: RNAcentral